RNAcentral lists this small nuclear RNA (103 nucleotides) under Chelonoidis abingdonii (Abingdon island giant tortoise). The record is from RNAcentral. Lineage: Eukaryota; Metazoa; Chordata; Testudines; Testudinidae.
AUGCUUUCUUUGGCAGCAUAUAUUCUUCAGAUGGGACAUAAAGAGAAGAUUAGCAUAGCCCCAUAUAAGCAUAAAACAAGUUUGUGAAGCACUGUAUAUUUAA